RNAcentral lists this small nuclear RNA (107 nucleotides) under Dasypus novemcinctus (nine-banded armadillo). The record is from RNAcentral. Lineage: Eukaryota; Metazoa; Chordata; Mammalia; Cingulata; Dasypodidae.
GUACUUGCUUCAGCGGCACAUAUACUAAAACUGGAAUGACAAGGAGAAGAUUAGCAUGGCCCCUGCAUGAGGAUAACAUGCAAAUUUGUGAAGAAUUUCAUAUUAAA